CAACCAUCAAGCCCCGGGCUUGUGUUGGGGCCCUGCGGCUGCCGCAGGCCCUGAAAACCAGUGGCGGGCUCGCUAGUCACUCCGAGCGUAGUAGUUUACACCUCGCUCAGGGCGUGCUGCGGGUUCCGGCCGUUAAAAGCCUUAUUUUACCCAA
RNAcentral lists this unclassified non-coding RNA (154 nucleotides) under Chaetomium sp. RNAcentral's name for it is "partial internal transcribed spacer 2". The record is from RNAcentral. RNAcentral also lists the same sequence under 1 other name. Lineage: Eukaryota; Fungi; Ascomycota; Sordariomycetes; Sordariales; Chaetomiaceae.